UGACAUGACUUAUAGCAAGAACAACGGACGACUGAGAGACAAAUUUUGAUUCGUUUCUGAAUAUAUAUCAACAGGUGAUGCCAUGCGAUGUUUUGAGUGUCAGAACAUUCCAUCUCCACAAAACUGUUCAAAAGUUAUAGAAUGCAGUGCCGACCAGUAUUGUUUCACAGAGCAACUUGUAACAGCUGGUGGAAAUUUCAUAUUUAACACAGGAUGUCUUCACUAUUCGAGUUGCUCUCCUACCGGCAUAGUCCUAAUUGGGAAAAGGUUGGAGAAUAAUUUACGACGUUCCACUGACGUCAGAACAUGCAUUGAAUGCUUCAACAACGAUUUUUGCAAUAAGAAUGGUUGCGGAACAAGCGGUAAAUUA
This is a long non-coding RNA of Mercenaria mercenaria, 370 nucleotides long. RefSeq lists it as uncharacterized. The transcript has 3 exons. NCBI's taxonomy places the organism in Eukaryota, Metazoa, Mollusca, Bivalvia, Venerida, Veneridae. The record is from RefSeq and is a predicted model, not a curated record.